This 435-nucleotide ribosomal RNA is filed under the name Janthinobacterium lividum. RNAcentral describes it as "bacterial SSU rRNA". It matches the Rfam family "Bacterial small subunit ribosomal RNA", at positions 91 to 522 of the family's 1533-position model. Lineage: Bacteria; Pseudomonadati; Pseudomonadota; Betaproteobacteria; Burkholderiales; Oxalobacteraceae. The record is from RNAcentral.
GCGGGUGGCGAACGGGUGAGUAAUAUAUCGGAACGUACCCUAGAGUGGGGGAUAACGUAGCGAAAGUUACGCUAAUACCGCAUACGAUCUAAGGAUGAAAGUGGGGGAUCGCAAGACCUCAUGCUCGUGGAGCGGCCGAUAUCUGAUUAGCUAGUUGGUAGGGUAAAAGCCUACCAAGGCAUCGAUCAGUAGCUGGUCUGAGAGGACGACCAGCCACACUGGAACUGAGACACGGUCCAGACUCCUACGGGAGGCAGCAGUGGGGAAUUUUGGACAAUGGGCGAAAGCCUGAUCCAGCAAUGCCGCGUGAGUGAAGAAGGCCUUCGGGUUGUAAAGCUCUUUUGUCAGGGAAGAAACGGUGAGAGCUAAUAUCUCUUGCUAAUGACGGUACCUGAAGAAUAAGCACCGGCUAACUACGUGCCAGCAGCCGCGGUA